Molecule: transfer RNA, 69 nt
Filed under: Nocardiopsis dassonvillei subsp. dassonvillei DSM 43111
Lineage: Bacteria; Bacillati; Actinomycetota; Actinomycetes; Streptosporangiales; Nocardiopsidaceae
Description: tRNA-Val
Source: RNAcentral
GGUCGCUGCGGAGCCGGGACCACCUUGACACGGCAGAGGUCACAGGUUCGAAUCCUGUAUCGCCCACCA